Molecule: transfer RNA, 73 nt
Filed under: Biomphalaria glabrata
Lineage: Eukaryota; Metazoa; Mollusca; Gastropoda; Planorbidae
Rfam family: tRNA
About the family: Transfer RNA (tRNA) molecules are approximately 80 nucleotides in length. Their secondary structure includes four short double-helical elements and three loops (D, anti-codon, and T loops).
Source: Rfam by way of RNAcentral
UGCGUGGUGGCUGAGUGGUAAAGCGGUUGGUUUCUGAGCCAAGGGGUUCCGGGCUCAAAUCCUGGUGAAGCUA